Molecule: non-coding RNA, 5692 nt
Organism: Podarcis lilfordi (Lilford's wall lizard)
Lineage: Eukaryota; Metazoa; Chordata; Lepidosauria; Squamata; Lacertidae
Source: the annotation of a GenBank genome assembly
ACAGAUAACAGCAAUGCAGAAACAAUUUGUAAUAAUAAUGUUAUAUAUACCUGUUCUGCCAGUGUUCUGCGUACAAAUAUAGGUAAGAUUUACCUGUCUUUUUGUCAUUUGCUGUUGGAUUUGACCCAGGUUAAGAUAGGUGAACUUUAAUGGAUCUAUUAGCAUAUAGAAGUCUAUGCUGGAGGAACUCACCUAUGAAAAAAGUGAGGUGAGGAAACUGUGACACUUCAGUUGUAGAUGAAUUAGAACUCCCAUCAGCUUCAGCUAGCCAGGCCACAAGUCAGGGAUGAUGGAAGAUGCAGUCCAACAACAUCUGAAGUAAGGAAUUAAUGGCUUGCAUAUGAAAAUGGGGAACCUAAUAUCACCUUAUCACAAGCAGUGGCUGAAUUUGGUUGCUGAUCGCCAAGCUUGGAGAACUUGAUUUGCAUCAACCAGGAAUACCUAUUGACCCAAACCAAUGAACUCCACUUUAGUUUUGCUUAUCAAACUAGGACAAGAAGCCUGGAAUAUAAGCUGAAUAUCCCCUUUGCUGUAAAUGCCAUUAAAAUUGAGAGUCCUUUUACAGAUGUAUGAAAACUGUAUAAAGCUGAGGAACCAGGAGAGAGAUGAACAUGCUUCACACUUGAGGGUUGAUUCGAUCCCUUUGCUUGCUCCUGAUUCACCCAUCCCUUCUACCCAGGAGGGAGUAGGUGCCAUUUUGUGGUACACCUCAGUGCCAAAAUGCCUUGGGGCAAUCCUGGGUGGGAUGGUGCUUGCUUGACCAUCCCUUCCAACAUCACUGCUACAUUCUUGGAGGGAGAGGGGCAAGGGGGUAGUAAGGUUGGUGCAAUGCAAGUGUCUUGCCAAGUGUUCAACAAUGGGAGUUCAGGGAAGCAUGCCCUGAACCUGCAAACUGUUAGGAUUGACUAGAAGAGAGAGUGCAGUGUAUGGCAGAUGUAUUGUCAGAUGUAUAGAAAUAGGCAUGAUUCUUCAUGCAACAAAUUUGACCUAAAAUGAAGUUCUGCAUAAAUUCCAAAUUUAAUGCAUUUUGCAAAUUACUGUAUUUUUUGCUCUAUAAGACUCACUUUUUCCCUCCUAAAAAGUAGGGGGAAAUGUGUGCGCGUCUUAUGCAGCGAAUGCAGGCUGCACAGCUAUCCCAGAAGCCAGAACAGCAAGAGGGAUCGCUGCUUUCGCGAUCCCUCUUGCUGUUCUGGCUUCUGGGAUUCAGAAUAUUUUUUUUCUUGUUUUCCUCCUCCAAAAACUAGGUGCAUCUUAUGGUCUGGUGCGUCUUAUAGAGUGAAAAAUACGGUAAUUGUGAACCUUAAAAGAGAAGCUGCUUCUAUGGAAUAAGGAGGCAAGAGACUACUGCUUAUGGUUGAGAGCUGAACACUUAAAUGCCUGCAGAAAACCUUUCUUUUCCAUUAAGAAUUCACUGGUUCUUAUUGUAUCUUUUAUGUAUUAUAACUGAAAAACCAUUUUGAUAUCUCUUUCCUUUUACGAUACAGCAGUGCACACACAUUUAAAUAAAUAAACAGCACCUCAUUUUAGAUUGAAUAAUACUUUCCAUAUUGUUACUUUGAAAAGGUCCUGAUACUUUCCAUUGAAAAUAAGUGGCUUCCAGCUGUACAGGAUUUAAAGUUAUGGAUAGAUUAAGAUUAAGGAUUAGGAUUAAAAAAGUUUAAGGAAAUGGAAAUUUGGUUUUUAAAAGGUAAAAUUUUAAUAUUAUAUUAUAUUAAGAGUAAAGAUUGGGAUUAAAAAAGAGGGAAAGAAAUUGCUGGACAAACAAUUUGAACUGGAAUACAAAAGAGGGAGGUACGAGGAGGUCCAGAAAAUAAGUAAAUUUAAAAAUGGAGAUGAAAAGGUGAUAUUGUUUUUAAUUGUUUUAUUUUGUUUUUUGUUUUUUGUUUUUCUUGUUUUUUUUUCUUUUGGAUUAUGUAUUGUGUAUUUUUGAAUUGUGUAUUUCUUUUUUAUGUUUUAUGUUUAAUCUUUUAUUGAAACUUUAAUAAAUAUCAUUUUUUAAAAAAUAAAAAAUGAAUAAUACUUUCCAUAUUGUUACUUUGAAAAGGUCCUGAUUCAGGCAACACAGAAAAUUGGAACAAUUAUAAUGAAUGUGCUUUAGGAGCAAUGGACUGCAUUUCCCCCCAGAUCCUGAUAGUUCUUUAAAAUUCUUUUUCACAGUUAAACCUGAAGUGCAAAUUGAGAAUACUUGUUUGUCAUCCAGAUACUGUUUCUCAGGCGAUUACAGCUUCACUGCAGUGGAUGGUAAAUUCUUUGAGAUGAAGAUGCAAUGCUGCAACACUGACCUGUGUAACAAUGCAACUCUCAGCCGUAAGUUUCUGGAUCAUUGUAGAAUCAUUAACAUGUUAGCGCUGUGCACUGGGUUUCUCCAAGGCUUGGAUCCUUAGCCAAUCAGCAUUACUCAGAGGACCUGUGCCUCGUUCAGAUGGGGUGAGACAGCCCCAGAUGGCUACAGGUUGGGUUGAGCAGCUCAGGACUAUUAGGGGCUCUCAAGGUAUGGAGAAUGAGGCAGGACGGAGAGGCAGGCAUGAGGAGAAAACUGUGAAAAAGAGGACCUACUAGGCAGCUUUGUCUCUGCCUGAGAAGGGAUGGGUUGCCUUUCCAGCCAGGCCUCUCCUUCCUGUCCCUUGAAGCAGUACCAUGAAGGAUAAUAAUAAUAAUAAUAAUAAUAAUAAUAAUAAUAAUAAUUUAUUAUUUGUACCCCGCCCAUCUGGCUGGGUUUUCCCAGCCACUCUGGGUGGCUUCCAACAAAGAUGAAAAAUACACUAAAAUGUCACAUAUUAAAAACUUCCCUGAACAGGGCUGCCUUAAGAUGUCUUCUGAAUGUCAGGUAGUUGUUUGUCGCUUUGACAUCUGAUGGGAGGGCGUUCCACAGGGCGGGCGCCACUACCGAGAAGGCCCUCUGCCUGGUUCCCUGUAACUUGGCCUCUCGCAGUGAGGGAACCGCCAGAAGGCCCUCGGAGUUGGACCUCAGUGUCCGGGCAGAACGAUGGGGGUGGAGACACUCCUUCAGGUAUACUGGACCGAGGCCGUUUAGGGCUUUAAAGGUCAGCACCAACACUUUGAAUUGUGCUCGGAAACGUACUGGGAGCCAAUGUAGGUCUUUCAAGACCGGUGUUAUAUGGUCUCGGCGGCCGCUCCCAGUCACCAGUCUAGCUGCUGCAUUCUGGAUUAGUUGUUGUUUCCGGGUCACCUUCAAAGGUAGCCCCACGUAGAGCUCAUUGCAGUAGUCCAAGCGGGAGAUAACCAGAGCAUGCACCACUCUGGCGAGACAGUCUGCAGGCACAUAGGGUCUCAGGCUACGUACCAGAUGGAGCUGGUAAACAGCUGCCCUGGAUACAGAUUUGACCUGUGCCUCCAUGGACAGCUGUGAGUCCAAAAUGACUCCCAGGCUGCGCACCUGGUCCUUCAGGGGCACAGUUACCCCAUUCAGGACCAGGGAAUCCUCCGCACCUGCCCGCCUCCUGUCCCCCAAAAACAGUACUUCUGUCUUGUCAGGAUUCAACCUCAAUCUGUCAGCCGCCAUCCAUCCUCCAACCACCUCCAGACACUCACACAGGACCUUCACCGCCUUCACUGGUUCUGAUUUAAAAGAGAGGUAGAGCUGGGUAUCAUCCGCAUAGUGAUGAACACCCAGCCCAAACCUCCUGAUGAUCUCUCCCAGCGGCUGCAUGUAAAUGUUGAAAAGCAUGGGGGAGAGGACAGAACCCUGAGGCACCCCACAAGUGAGAGCCCAGAGGUCUGAACACUCAUCUCCCACCACCACUUUCUGAACACGGCCCAGGAGGAAGGAGCGGAACCACUGUAUGACAGUGCCCCCAGCUCCCAGCCCCUCAAGACGGUCCAGAAGGAUGUUAUGGUCGAUGGUAUCAAAUGCCGCUGAGAGAUCCAGCAGAACUAGGAAACAGCUCUCACCUUUGUCCCUAGCCCGCCGGAGAUCAUCAACCAGUGUGACCAAGGCAGUUUCAGUCCCAUGAUGAGGCCUGAAUCCUGACUGGAAGGGAUCCAAAUGGUCCGCUUCUUCCAGGCGUGCCUGGAGUUGUUCAGCAACCACUCGCUCAAUCACCUUGCCCAAGAAUGGAAGAUUUGAGACUGGGCGAUAAUUGGCCAUCGUGGCCGCAUCUAAAGAUGGUUUUUUAAGAAGCGGUUUAAUAACCUCCUCUUUCAGCGGGUCUGGGAAGGCUCCCUCACGGAGGGACGCAUUCACCACCCCACGAAGCCCAUCGCCCAGUCCUUCCCGGCUAGCUUUUAUAAGCCAGGAUGGGCAAGGAUCCAGGAGACAGGUGGUUGGCUUCACUCGUCCAAGCAGCCUGUCCACAUCCUCGGAGGUAACAGGUUGGAAUUGAUCCCAUGCAACUUGACUAGACAGGACUCUAGCACUCUCCCGCCCUGGCCCUGUUCCCACAGUGGAGUCUACUUCUUCCCGAAUCUGAGUGAUUUUAUCUGCAAAAAACUUUGCAAAAUCAUUGCAGGAGAUCAUGUGGCCCGUACUGGGCCCAGACGUCGCAGGUGGUUCCGCUAAAUUGUGAACCACCUGAAAAAGUCUCCUGCUGCUGUUUUCUGCAGAUGCAAUAGAGGCGGCGAAGAAAGUGUUCUUCGCCGUUGCUAUCGCCACUUGGUAGGCUCGACGUUGAGCUCUAACCUGUGUCCAGUCAGAUUUGGAAUGAGUUAUCCACCACCGGCGCUCUAGCCGUCUCAACGAUUGUUUCAUUGCCCUCAGAUCCGUGGAAAACCACGGGGCUGUCCGGGCUCCAUGCAAUCGGAGAGGGCGCUUCGGAGCCAAACAGUCAAUAGCUCGGGUUAACUCCACAUUCCAGCGGGCCACCAGGGAAUCGGCUGAAAGGCCAUCAACAUGGGAUAAAGCAUCCCCUACCACUCUCUGGAAACCAUUUGGAUCCAUUAAGUGGCGGGGGCGGACCAUCCGAUAUAUAAUUCGAUACCUAAGCUCCUGAACAGCUCAUGAAUAGUUUAUGGUCCCUUCAAGUCCACUUUCCAUUGGCUGUUUCAAACAUGGACCUUACAACCCACCUAUCUUAUCCAAGUGUCCUCCUGAAUCACCCUUCAGCUAGUUCUUCUCUGUCUUUUAAUUGGCAAGCACUACCUUGGCCAGCAGUUAAAAUGGUGCAAAGAUAAGACCCUACCUUACAGCAUUCUCCAAAAUUUAUUUAUUGAAUUUAUUGAAUUUAUGUACCACCCUGUACCUGGGUGUCUCAGGGCAGUUCACAGAAACACUCAAAUAGCUCAUUGCUGAAGAGCGGAAGAGAGAUAGAAUCUCUGUACAAAAAUGGGGAACUAAGAGCCUAUAUUUUCAGAGACACUACACCAUAAUCAAUGGCAUGAAUACAUUCAGAGAGAUAAAAAGGAAAAUAAAGUUCGCACUCUCCCACCCCACUUUGGGUAAAGGUCAUUCAUCUCAGAGACCAAUGGUGACUUUGUCCCAUGCGCAGCCCUUAACCCAGAUUAUUUCUAGAUCAUGUUUUCAUCCAAGAACACUUGCAGCUGUCCUAGGAAAAUUGUAAUUGUAAUUAAGAUGCUCACCAUACAUUUGAUCUUGGAAGUUCCUGAUCGCAACAUGCUGGCUGAAAAUGGUCUGCAGUGCCCAUCCUGCUUCUCCAAAGGAAGGGAAAACUGUAAAAGUGAGACGACCAUCAACUGCCUUGAGAAUGAGACCCAAUGUGUUGAUUUUAGAGGAGCU